RNAcentral lists this ribosomal RNA (497 nucleotides) under uncultured bacterium. RNAcentral describes it as "partial 16S ribosomal RNA". It matches the Rfam family "Bacterial small subunit ribosomal RNA", at positions 28 to 507 of the family's 1533-position model. The record is from RNAcentral.
GAUGAACGCUGGCGGCGUGCCUAAUACAUGCAAGUCGAGCGAACAGAUGAGGAGCUUGCUCCUCUGACGUUAGCGGCGGACGGGUGAGUAACACGUGGAUAACCUACCUCUAAGACUGGGAUAACUUCGGGAAACCAGAGCUAAUACCGGAUACUAUAUUGAACCGCAUGGUUCCCUCGUGAAAGACGGUUUUGCUGGCAAUUAUCGAUGGACCCGCGCCGCAUUAGCUGGUUGGUAAGGUCACGACGUAUCCAGGCAACGAUACGUAGCCGACCUGAGAGGGUGAGCAGCCACACUGAGAGGGUGACACGGUCCACAGGCCUAGGGGAGCGAGCAGUAGGGAAACGUGCGCAAGGAGUGGAAGCCUGACGAAGCAGCGCCGCGGCAUGAAGGAGGAUCUCCGGGUCGGAGAACUCGGUUAUUAGGUAGGAAAAAUUUUGUAGGUAACUAGACGCGUAUGUGCGGUACCUAGUAGGAAAGGCACGGCUAACUACGGU